Molecule: ribosomal RNA, 460 nt
Filed under: uncultured bacterium
Lineage: Bacteria
Description: partial 16S ribosomal RNA
Rfam family: Bacterial small subunit ribosomal RNA
Source: RNAcentral
CCUACGGGUGGCAGCAGUGAGGAAUAUUGGUCAAUGGGCGGAAGCCUGAACCAGCCAAGUAGCGUGCAGGAUGACUGCCCUACGGGUUGUAAACUUCUUUUAUACGGGAAUAACGCGCCUUACGUGUAGGGCUUUGCAUGUACCGUAUGAAUAAGGACCGGCUAAUUCCGUGCCAGCAGCCGCGGUAAUACGGAAGGUCCGGGCGUUAUCCGGAUUUAUUGGGUUUAAAGGGAGCGUAGGCCGCAUGUCAAGCGUGUUGUGAAAUGUCCGGGCUCAACCCGAGCCUUGCAGAGGGAACUGGCUGGCUUGAGUGCGCCGAAGGCAGGCGGAAUUCGUGGUGUAGCGGUGAAAUGCUUAGAUAUGACGAAGAACCCCGAUUGCGAAGGCAGCUUGCUGCAGCGGAACUGACGCUGAUGCUCGAAAGCGUGGGUAUCGAACAGGAUUAGAUACCCCGGUAGUC